RNAcentral lists this ribosomal RNA (415 nucleotides) under uncultured prokaryote. RNAcentral describes it as "bacterial SSU rRNA". It matches the Rfam family "Bacterial small subunit ribosomal RNA", at positions 505 to 918 of the family's 1533-position model. The record is from RNAcentral.
GUGCCAGCCGCCGCGGUAAUACGUAGGGUGCAAACGUUGCUCGGAAUUACUGGGCGUAAAGGGUCCGUAGGCGGUCAGAAAAGUCAGGUGUGAAAUCCCCCGGCUCAACCGGGGAAUUGCGCCUGAAACUCUCUGACUUGAGUGCAGGAGGGGAGAGUGGAACUCUCGGUGGAGCGGUGAAAUGCGUAGAUAUCGAGAGGAACACCAGCGGCGAAGGCGACUCUCUGGUCUGCAACUGACGCUGAGGGACGAAAGCUAGGGGAGCAAACGGGAUUAGAUACCCCGGUAGUCCUAGCUGUAAACGAUGGACACUAAGUAGGGGUGGUUCCGACAUCGUCCUUGCUGUAGCUAACGCGUUAAGUGUCCCGCCUGGGGAGUACGCUCGCAAGGGUAAAACUCAAAUGAAUUGACGGGG